Molecule: ribosomal RNA, 263 nt
Filed under: uncultured archaeon
Lineage: Archaea
Description: partial 16S ribosomal RNA
Rfam family: Archaeal small subunit ribosomal RNA
Source: RNAcentral
AGGGUGUAAACGCUGCAGACUUGGUGUUGGAAGCCCCUUUGGGGGCGAUUCAGUGCCGGAGAGAAGUUGUUAAGUCUGCUACUUGGGGAGUACGUCCGCAAGGAUGAAACUUAAAGGAAUUGGCGGGGGAGCACCGCAACGGGAGGAGCGUGCGGUUUAAUUGGAUUCAACGCCGGAAAGCUCACCGGAUAAGACAGCGGAAUGAUUGCCGGGCUGAAGACUCUGCAUGACUAGCUGAGAGGAGGUGCAUAGCGUCAGUGACU